AAGGUGUUCAACAACAGUCAGAUUCAAUAUUGCAGUAGACAUGGUGUUUUAAUUAUGUGACACAGACUUCAGAUAAUCUUCGCGGUUAUUGUUUGCCUUCUGUUCUGACUGAAAGUAUUGGCUAUGUGCUGCAGGUACGAUCUGCUACACUCGACACAUGGCUUCCAGAACAGGUUGCAUUUAUUCAAAGAAUGGGAAAUGAGAAGUCAAAUAGCUACUGGGAAGCAGAACUGCCUCUAAAUUAUGACAGAAAUCUUUUGGUGGGCUCUAGUUGAUGAAUAGCCUGGAUCCAUCACACGUGCUGUGAAUCACCUUAGCACCCAUCUUCUAUGUAACAUCUGUUUGUUUGUGGUCUAAACACCUUCUUGGUCUUAUUGGAUGUCUUUCACUUAGCGAUACAAGAUUUCUUGUGCAUCAACUAAAGCUUUGUGUUUUCCUGAAUUGUGCAUGGUAAAAUGAGAUUUCACUAACUUGUUAGCAUGCUUGACUUGAGCUGACAAAACAGGUUUCUUCUAAUUCAAAAGCAGAGCCGGUCCCGGUGCAGGCUGAUUCAACACAGAAAGUGCAACCUACACCCAAUAUCCCACCUCCAAAGGUUGAUUAUGCCAGUGAUCUUUUCAAUAUGCUUUCUAUGGAUGGCCCAAGUCAAAAUGGGUGAUAUUUUUGGGAUCCAUGACAAGCUUGAAAGUUAUUCAUGUCCACUGUAAAGUAAAUGAGUCAAUGUCUUGCUUGUAAAUAUGUAGUUUUCACUUUCAAAUUGUUGAAAUCAUUGACCGGUAUGAGACAGUGCAUUCUAGAGAGCUCAAGAGGCAAUAAGCUUGCAUUUAUACAGGACCCGAAAAUGGACAAAACCUGCACCAGGACAAUAAUGAUGGGGUGUUAAGAAGCCUCAAAUCAUGGAAAAUUCUAUCACGAUCUUGUCGAGUGCAGGUCUUGGGAUGGUCAUGUUCAGUCUUGGUAAGUUCAUUGAUAUGCUCAUCAUGUUCAGUCUCGGUAAGAUCAUUGAUAUGCUCAUUCAACGCGAGGGGUGUCAUCAAGAAAUAUGACAGUCCUGAACAAAUUCUUGAAGAAUUCUUUCAUUUAAGACUUGAGUUCUAUGUAAAGAGAAAGAAAGUAAUGUUGGAUAAUCUUGAGAAGGAAGAAGCCCAGGUGGAGGAGGUGACAGGAUAGAUGGAGGGCAGGGCAGGCAAGCCUCUCGCUAAGGCUUCUAGACAAGUUGGAAAGAACCAAAGAAAGAACAACACCAAGAAAGCUAAUGAAGCAGAUACUGUUGUUGAAUCUGUAGCAUCAGUUAGUACUAUAGCUGAAACUGGACAUGUUUCCGAGGAGGCAAAACCCAAAGGCAGGGGAGCUCUGAAGAAGGCUCCUGCUAGAAAGGUGUGCUUGCAAAUCCUGAAU
Magnolia sinica is the source of this 1398-nucleotide long non-coding RNA. RefSeq lists it as uncharacterized. The transcript is spliced from 6 exons. The record is from RefSeq and is a predicted model, not a curated record. Lineage: Eukaryota; Viridiplantae; Streptophyta; Magnoliopsida; Magnoliales; Magnoliaceae.